RNAcentral lists this non-coding RNA (21 nucleotides) under Caenorhabditis elegans. The record is from RNAcentral. Lineage: Eukaryota; Metazoa; Nematoda; Chromadorea; Rhabditida; Rhabditidae.
UCCUAUGUAAAUCCCACAUAA